Non-coding RNA from Triticum aestivum (bread wheat), 140 nucleotides. Lineage: Eukaryota; Viridiplantae; Streptophyta; Magnoliopsida; Poales; Poaceae. The record is from Rfam.
GUGUGAAUCCCAGGGCGCUUCUCCAUUGGCACGGUGGCAUGCAUGCAUGUAGCCAGGUGAGUUGAAGAAGCUCCAUGCACGGAAGCUACCUAGCUAGCCAUGCUGUGCGUGCCAAAGGAGAAUUGCCCUGCGAUUCACCU